AUCACACAAAGUAUUGCAAUACAGUUCGGUGUACAUGGUUAUGACUUUGAACGGCGAAAGAAGGUGCUUAAUUUUAAAAUGUGGCAGAAGGACAGUUUCCCUUACCAUAUUAUACUUAUGGUGGACAAUAUGUGGAAGUGCAGGAGCUCAAAGCACAACUUCUACACAAAACACAACACCACUUCUUUCAAACACAACUGUG
Molecule: long non-coding RNA, 202 nt
Organism: Myxocyprinus asiaticus (Chinese sucker)
Lineage: Eukaryota; Metazoa; Chordata; Actinopteri; Cypriniformes; Catostomidae
Exons: 3
Source: RefSeq, a predicted model, not a curated record